This 253-nucleotide ribosomal RNA is filed under the name uncultured bacterium. Its description in RNAcentral is "partial 16S ribosomal RNA". It matches the Rfam family "Bacterial small subunit ribosomal RNA", at positions 524 to 776 of the family's 1533-position model. The record is from RNAcentral.
UACGGGGGGGGCAAGCGUUGUUCGGAAUUACUGGGCGUAAAGGGCUCGUAGGCGGCCAACUAAGUCAGACGUGAAAUCCCUCGGCUUAACCGGGGAACUGCGUCUGAUACUGGAUGGCUUGAGUUUGGGAGAGGGAUGCGGAAUUCCUGGUGUAGCGGUGAAAUGCGUAGAUAUCUGGAGGAACACCGGUGGCGAAGGCGGCAUCCUGGACCGGCAUUGACGCUGAGGAGCGAAAGCGUGGGGAGCAAACAGG